RNAcentral lists this ribosomal RNA (798 nucleotides) under uncultured bacterium. Its description in RNAcentral is "bacterial SSU rRNA". It matches the Rfam family "Bacterial small subunit ribosomal RNA", at positions 1 to 773 of the family's 1533-position model. The record is from RNAcentral.
GGCUUAGAGUUUGAUCCUGGCUCAGAAUGAACGCUGGCGGCGUGCUUAACACAUGCAAGUCGCACGAGAACUCUUCUGCUUGCAGAAGAUAGUAAAGUGGCGCACGGGUGAGUAACGCGUGGGUAAUCUACCUCUGAAUUGGGGAUAACAUUGUGAAAGCGAUGCUAAUACCGAAUAAUAUCCCGAGAACUUAGGCUUUUGGGAUCAAAGGUGGCCUCUACAUGUAAGCUACUGUUUAGAGAUGAGCCCGCGUACCAUUAGCUUGUUGGUAGGGUAAUGGCCUACCAAGGCAACGAUGGUUAGCUGGUCUGAGAGGAUGAUCAGCCACACUGGAACUGACACACGGUCCAGACUCCUACGGGAGGCAGCAGUGAGGAAUUUUGCGCAAUGGGGGAAACCCUGACGCAGCAACGCCGCGUGAGUGAUGAAGGCUUUCGAGUCGUAAAGCUCUGUCAAGUGAGAAGAACCUACUUUUUGUUAAUACCAUUAAGUACUGACGGUAUCACUGAAGGAAGCACCGGCUAACUCCGUGCCAGCAGCCGCGGUAAUACGGAGGGUGCAAGCGUUAUUCGGAAUUAUUGGGCGUAAAGGGCGCGUAGGCGGUCUUUUAAGUCAGACGUGAAAGCCCGGGGCUCAACCCCGGAAGUGCAUUUGAAACUAAUGGACUUGAGUAUGGGAGAGGGAAGUGGAAUUCCUGGUGUAGAGGUGAAAUUCGUAGAUAUCAGAUAGAACACCAAUGGCGAAGGCAGUUGCCUGGCUCAAUACUGACGCUAAAGUACGAAAGUAUGGGGAGCAAAC